GAACGCUGGCGGCAUGCCUUACACAUGCAAGUCGAACGGCAGCACGGGAGCAAUCCUGGGUGGCGGAGUGGCGAACGGGUGAGUAAUAUAUCGGAACGUGCCCAGUCGUGGGGGAUAACGUAGCGAAAGCUACGCUAAUACCGCAUACGAUCUAUGGAUGAAAGCGGGGGAUCGCAAGACCUCGCGCGAUUGGAGCGGCCGAUAUCAGAUUAGGUAGUUGGUGAGGUAAAGGCUCACCAAGCCGACGAUCUGUAGCUGGUCUGAGAGGACGACCAGCCACACUGGGACUGAGACACGGCCCAGACUCCUACGGGAGGCAGCAGUGGGGAAUUUUGGACAAUGGGCGCAAGCCUGAUCCAGCAAUGCCGCGUGCAGGAUGAAGGCCUUCGGGUUGUAAACUGCUUUUGUACGGAACGAAACGGUGAGCUCUAAUACAGUUUGCUAAUGACGGUACCGUGAGAAUAAGCACCGGCUAACUACGUG
RNAcentral lists this ribosomal RNA (483 nucleotides) under uncultured bacterium. RNAcentral's name for it is "bacterial SSU rRNA". It matches the Rfam family "Bacterial small subunit ribosomal RNA", at positions 31 to 507 of the family's 1533-position model. The record is from RNAcentral.